GUGAGAAGGUCUAGGGUAGCCAGCUUUUGCUAAUUCAAGUGCCAUGAGUUCUUCCCAAGGUACAUCCCACAUGAUUUUACAGGGCUUCUUGUCCAUCUUAUCAGCAGACAAACACUGGAGAAGCAUGACCCGUUUAUUAGUCACCAAAACAAUCCGCGAAUAAGGAACCAUAAAAUGAUUUUCAUAAUAAUCAGAUAAGGCAAAUUUAGAAGGCUCUUUAAAAAGUUCAGUGCAACCAAAAUGGCGGCUCUCUUCAGCAAGGUGAAGUAUCACUUGACCCUGUGCUUCUCGCUCACUGUAAUCUCUAAGUAUAUUGUCUGCAUGAAUAGCACGGGGAUUUCUUAUCCUAUGGAAGGUGGUCUUGUUGCUAAGGAUUUCAAUGCAACGAGAACAACUUGCACCAAUCCCGUCGACAGUCAAUGAAAAGAAGUCCAAUGCUCCACUCACUGGUUGAGCAACGAACCCCACAACAGCUCGUCCAAGCCCAUGGGCAAAACCAAGAAGGCCAUGUUGUCUAGCACUCUCCACAGGCCUUGUCACUACCCCAGAAACUCCGAAUGCAACACCUUGUGCCAGGGCUUCAGUCCCUUGCCUGAUCCCUUCACCAACUCCAGUUAUUCUUCUUGACCAUAUCUGCUUUGAACGCAGCUGCAAAAACUGUCCAUCUGU
This 669-nucleotide unclassified non-coding RNA is filed under the name Hevea brasiliensis (rubber tree). The record is from RNAcentral. Lineage: Eukaryota; Viridiplantae; Streptophyta; Magnoliopsida; Malpighiales; Euphorbiaceae.